Molecule: small RNA, 4964 nt
Filed under: Pongo abelii (Sumatran orangutan)
Lineage: Eukaryota; Metazoa; Chordata; Mammalia; Primates; Hominidae
Description: retained intron
Source: RNAcentral
AUUGUGAGGACUCUGCAUUGCUCCAUUUCUUUUUAAAAAUUUUUCUUAAAGAAGGAUUAUAUUGCUCUAUUUCUGUCUCCACCCCAGAAGUCAGCCUUUUCUGAGGUCCAGGUCCACACCUCUGUUCUCUCCCACCCUCACUUCCUCGCACCCUUUUCCCUAGAAAUCCCCUUACGUGGACAGCUUUGCCUCUUACCUGCAUUUUAAUCCUUGCAGCCUCUUAAGCAUCGGUUCCCUUUGAUGAACAGCACUCACCUUAAACUCAAAAAGCAAACCAGUCCUCUCCCCAUAGCAACUGUCCCUUUCUCCCUUCUUGUCUCCCUCAUAUCAUCUUUCUCCAAGUGAUUCAGGUCUUAACCUUGGAACCCUUUUCUCCUUCCUCUCUUCCAUCCAAUGCCUGGGUUCUGUCCAUUUCACCCUAGGCUCUGCCAUCCUCUCUUCCCUGGCCCACUCUGCUCCAUGCUCUCACGGCCUUGGCGUGAACUUGGGAUAAGAUGUAAAUUCCCAGACUCACAAUUUCUGAUCUUUUCUCAGCUGAUUGCUCCUCACAAAGAUGUGUUUGGCCAUGUUUCAGCCUGUUUAAUCUCUGUCCGUCUCACGAGACCCCCUCCAUGGAACCUCACUUCCUUUGAGAAGCCUUCUCUGACAACUGAAGCCAAUGGCAAACACUUUGCCUCCUGAAUUGUGCCAGCAUUUAUAGUCUGCACCAGAAGUCGCAAACAGCCAUAUCUCAUUAAAAAUUGUUAAAAGUUGGUUGUCAUCAUGUGAAAACCAGAUGGUUUGAUGUAACAAUCCCAAUUUCUGGCUUCUGAAAGUUAAGAACAUCUGGCAACAUUGGCUUUGCUUUCCCAUGUGGCAGUGUUGGUUUGGUGCGGAGGAGUGGUUAUCGCCUAUUGGCAGAUCGUGCACUCCCAGCAGGAUUCGUGCCCCUGUGCUACCUAUCCGGCUCCUCUAGACAAUUGCAUUUGCAACCCUUGUCUAUACCAUCGAUCUGCCAUGACUUAGCAAACAUGUCUUGUCUUGUUAUUGACUGUUCUGUGUUUACAUGUGUGUCUUAUAUUCGCUUCACAAUUCAAUCGCCUUCUCCCUGAGGGUGGGGGAUCUCUGUGAACUUUACAUGCCUCCUGCAGUAUCUGACACAUAGUAGGUCUGUUGUUUGAGAGGCCAGUGCCUGAGGUGGAAUUUGCCUUAUGACUUGCUUCUAGGUCAGUGGUUCUCACUUGCACCCUCUGUCAACAUUAUACCAGGCUUGGGGGUGGGGUACACUCUGUCCAGUGUUUACUAGAAAGUUCUAGCAGAGGUUUGAAGCAUGCCCGCCCCUUAAUGUUACAGGGUUGGGCUUGUGGUGAAGGCAAUGGCAGGUGUCAUUUGCAGAACUCCCCUGGGUGAUUCCAGGGCAUCCCCUAGUGGAAGGCUCACGUGGCCAUUUUCAGCCUGUGUUGUAAAUUAUUGCUUUAGAUAAAAGGGACAAAGUAUUUCAGGUAAGGUUUGACCUCUGGGAAGGUCCAGACCCCCAGGUGCGUUUUCUAUUGGAAAUUUCCCUGGCUGGGGCCGGGCCAGAGACGAGGAGGUCUCCCCACAAUUCUGAGAGUGGCUGGUGGCCUGCACCUCAUUUUUGUCCCCCACCUUCCUUUCCCUCACCCCUUUCUUCAGUCUUUACCUCUCGCUCUUUCCAUCCAUUUUUACCUUUUUGCAAGCUCUCGGUUCUAUGGAUUUGUGGGAUUUUAUUUUUCUUCCUUCCCCAUGUGCAAAUCUACCCCUGCUGUGACAUGGGAGAGAGUGUAAGAGGACACACCAGAGUACAUACUGCCUUCUUCCAACCCAGCUUUCUAACAGCAGAGCUGCUAAGGGACCAAUGGCCAGUAAAGGUGCAGAGAAGGACAUGAACCCUUCCUGUUGUUGGAAAGAUAUAAGUGUUUCUCCCUGGAGCAGUUUUCACAACUGAUUUGCCCUCCUUUGCUUCUGCGAGCUGCUCAGAUAGCACUAGAUCUCUGCAGCUUGCACAGGCAGACCAAACUCAACCAGAUACUUCUUAUUCUAAUUCAUAUGUCCGUUCUCUAAAUUCUUCUUUCUGUUUUACUGCUUCAUUGUAUUUGUGCUAAGCUGCCUCAUGACCUGAAGAUAAUCUAAAAUACGGCUUUCCUGCCAUCAGCAUAGCCUUCAGCUGCUGUAGGGCUGCAGAUACUGCAUUUCUUUCCACUCAGAAUUUUUCGGAGCUGUUUGGGGAUGCAGCGUUCUGAAGCACUGCAUGCCGCGGAGAUGUCGCAUCUGAUGGAGAGUAACUGCAACGUGGAGGGUUCACGUUGGCCAUCUCCAGUCUUGUAGGACAGAUGCUUAACUUGUGUUUGAAAUUUUCAGAGAUUAUUUCCAUUUUUGCAUAGCAAAGAAUCUAUUUCUUGUCCUCUAGCUAGAAGGCUUUGCAUGGCUAGAAUAAAUUUCUUUUCAACGAAACAGUAUGCUCUGGCGAAUCUUCCUUUUGGUGCAAGGCAGCCCACUAAACCCGCUGGCGUGUGUUAAUGAAGUGUGGUGCAGGUGCAGUGCACCACUGCAGCUUCUGGGCAGCCUGAGUUGGUGCCAUCUAGGUGCGCUCAGGCUUCUGUUCCACAAGUAACUGCCCCAGCCUGGUCCAUAGUUUGCUGCUCCAGUAGAUGGCAAAUAACAAAAGCAAAUAGAACAAAUGUAUCCCCUCUUCCCACAGCCUCAGCUACCAGUCGGCUAGAAAAGCCCAUUGGGUAGUUGGGGAGAAAAUAGCUUGUUAAUGCCGUGAGUUUGUUGGAUGUCUAACUGAACAAUUUGCUGCUCUAGAUAAGUGGGCGGAAAAACCAGCCUUUGGGACUCCCCUAGAAGAACACCUGAAGAGGAGCGGGCGCGAGAUUGCGCUGCCCAUUGAAGCCUGUGUCAUGCUGCUUCUGGAGACAGGCAUGAAGGAGGAGGGCCUUUUCCGAAUUGGGGCUGGGGCCUCCAAGUUAAAGAAGCUGAAAGCUGCUUUGGACUGUUCUACUUCUCACCUGGAUGAGUUCUAUUCAGACCCCCAUGCUGUAGCAGGUGCUUUAAAAUCCUAUUUACGGGAAUUGCCUGAACCUUUGAUGACUUUUAAUCUGUAUGAAGAAUGGACACAAGUUGCAAGUGUGCAGGAUCAAGACAAAAAACUUCAAGACUUGUGGAGAACAUGUCAGAAGUUGCCACCACAAAAUUUUGUUAACUUUAGAUAUUUGAUCAAGUUCCUUGCAAAGCUUGCUCAGACCAGCGAUGUGAAUAAAAUGACUCCCAGCAACAUUGCGAUUGUGUUAGGCCCUAACUUGUUAUGGGCCAAAAAUGAAGGAACACUUGCUGAAAUGGCAGCAGCCACAUCCGUCCAUGUGGUUGCGGUGAUUGAACCCAUCAUUCAGCAUGCCGACUGGUUCUUCCCUGAAGAGGUGGAAUUUAAUGUAUCGGAAGCAUUUGUACCUCUCACCACCCCGAAUUCUAAUCACUCAUUCCACACUGGAAACGACUCUGACUCGGGGACCCUGGAGAGGAAGCGGCCUGCUAGCAUGGCGGUGAUGGAAGGAGACUUGAUGAAGAAGGAAAGCUUUGGUGUGAAGCUUAUGGACUUCCAGGCCCACCGGCGGGGUGGCACUCUAAAUAGAAAGCACAUAUCCCCCGCUUUCCAGCCGCCACUUCCGCCCACAGAUGGCAGCACCGUGGUGCCCGCUGGCCCAGAGCCCCCUCCCCAGAGCUCUAGGGCUGAAAGCAGCUCUGGGGGUGGGACUGUCCCCUCCUCCGCGGGCAUACUGGAGCAGGGGCCGAGCCCAGGCGAUGGCAGUCCUCCCAAACCGAAGGACCCUGUAUCUGCAGCUGUGCCAGCACCAGGGAGAAACAACAGUCAGAUAGCCUCUGGCCAAAACCAGCCCCAGGCAGCUGCUGGCUCCCACCAGCUCUCUGUGGGCCAACCUCACAAUGCUGCAGGGCCCAGCCCGCAUACACUGCGCAGAGCUGUUAAAAAACCCGCUCCAGCACCUCCGAAACCAGGCAACCCACCUCCUGGACACCCCGGGGGCCAGAGUUCUUCAGGAACAUCUCAGCAUCCACCCAGUCUGUCACCAAAGCCACCCACCCGAAGCCCCUCUCCUCCCACCCAGCACACGGGCCAGCCUCCAGUCCAGCCCUCCGCCCCCUCCCAGCUCUCAGCACCCCGGAGGUACUCCAGCAGCCUGUCUCCAAUCCAAGCUCCCAAUCACCCGCCGCCGCAGCCCCCUACGCAGGCCACGCCACUGAUGCACACCAAACCCAAUAGCCAGGGCCCUCCCAACCCCAUGGCAUUGCCCAGUGAGCAUGGACUUGAGCAGCCAUCUCACACCCCUCCCCAGACUCCAACGCCUCCCAGUACUCCGCCCCUAGGAAAACAGAACCCCAGUCUGCCAGCUCCUCAGACCCUGGCGGGGGGUAACCCUGAGACUGCACAGCCACAUGCUGGAACCUUACCGAGACCGAGACCAGUACCAAAGCCAAGGCACCGGCCCAGCGUGCCCCCCCCCCCCAACCUCCUGGUGUCCACUCAGCUGGGGACAGCAGCCUCACCAGCACAGCACCAACAGCUUCCAAGAUAGUAACAGACUCCAAUUCCAGGGUUUCAGAACCGCAUCGCAGCAUCUUUCCUGAAAUGCACUCAGACUCAGCUAGCAAAGACGUGCCUGGCCGCAUCCUGCUGGAUAUAGACAAUGACACCGAGAGCACUGCCCUGUGAAGAAAGCCCUCUCCCAGCCCUCCACCCCUUCCACCCUGGUGAGUGGAGCAGGGGCAGGCGAACCUCUUCCUUUGCAGACCAAACAGUGAAAAGCUUUCAGUGGAGGACAAAGGAGGGCCUCACUGUGCGGGACCUGGCCUUCUGCACGGCCCAAGGAGAACCUGGAGGCCACCACUAAAGCUGAAUGACCUGUGUCUUGAAGAAGUUGGCUUUCUUUACGUGGGAAGGAAAUCAUGCC